GUGUCUCUUCCCCGUGGUCAAAACUGGGUGAACCGACAAGUUUUACAAGGGAGCCUGAUUCCCGUGUUAGUACAGGGAUUCUCCGUUGUCGAGAAAGCUGGAAGAGACGGGUGCGGCACCCACCUUAUGAAGGUGGGUUCAUAAUAUGACCACGGGGAAGGUCUUUU
Molecule: small RNA, 167 nt
Filed under: Lancefieldella rimae ATCC 49626
Lineage: Bacteria; Bacillati; Actinomycetota; Coriobacteriia; Coriobacteriales; Atopobiaceae
Description: Atopobium rimae ATCC 49626 6S / SsrS RNA
Source: RNAcentral